RNAcentral lists this long non-coding RNA (3204 nucleotides) under Sus scrofa (pig). RNAcentral's name for it is "lncRNA (ENSSSCG00000055757.1)". Lineage: Eukaryota; Metazoa; Chordata; Mammalia; Artiodactyla; Suidae. The record is from RNAcentral.
GGACCUUUGCCUUCGCUCUGAAUUGGGUGGGUCCAUCAUGAGGGAGGCCUGUGGGUCUGACCCCUGACCCUGGGGUGGGUGUGAGUCAGAGGGGAAAACUGGGUAUGGUUUCGGCAAGCUGGUUAGUGCUAAGUAGGUUAUGUUCUAGUAGCUAUUAUCAGUCUAAGAUACUUUCAAACAUAAAAAUCAUGAUUCUAAGAGAAGAGAAAGGUGCUCAGAGAAAUCACAGAUUGUUCUGUGAGUCAGUGGCCCAGAACAGACAAAGUUCCAUUUGAUAUUUUCUACCUGAGUGACCUUGAUAUGAGCAGCCUUUAGUUUAUAUUUUUCAAGUCACUUAUGCUGGGUGACGAGUCCUGUGCCCUCUACUGUUAGCUGGGCUGGAAGACCACAGCUCAGGUGAAGGUGGUGCUUUUCCUUUGUUGGAAUUGCGUGGGGGGGGGGAUGUUGCAUUUCUGGAAGCAGAUAGAUGGGGUGGGAAAAGUAUUGGAUGUCAGAAAACAUGGGCAUGAAUUCCGCUCUAAAAACUACCAUGUGACCCUGGAAAUAUCAGUCUGCCUUCCCUUCCUCAUUUGAAAAGUAAUGAUAAAAAUUUACAACAUCCUCCUUCUGGUUUUAUUUAUUUAUUUUAUUUAUUUAUUUUUGCCUUUUUGCCUUUUUAGGGCCACACCUGUGUUCCCAGGCUGGGGGUCUAAUUGGAGCUGUAGCCGCCAGCCUUUGCCAGAGCCACAGCCAGGCCAGAUCCGAGCUGCAUCUGCGACCCAUACCACAGCUCACGGCAACGCCGGAUCCUUAACCUACUGAGCAAAGCAAGGAAUUGAACCCACAACCUCAUGGUUCCUAGUCGGAUUCGUUUCUGCUGUGCCACGACGGGAAGUCCUGGUUUUAUUUUUAUUUGGAGAAUAAAGUGUUACUGGCCAACAAAAUACUGCAUGUUAUAGCCAUUUGUUAGUAUCUGUUUCUAAAGAAUAAGGUCCAUGGAAACAUUUGUAUGCUCACACUCAAUAAAAUAAUUAAUAGCUGAACAUCAGAUAAAGAGAAUAUAACAACCUCUGAACAAAGAGCUUUAUGUUGGUUUAAGCGAAAAACCUAAAACCAAAAUGGCAACCUGAGGACACCAAGUCGGGUUUGCAGUGCUUCCCUAAAGUACUUGUUAGCUGGUCUGUGGGAGCUGCUUCUCUCACCUGUGUUACAGCUUUGGGUGGGGUUCAGAUGAAACAUGUAACUUGGUUCUGGAGCAGUAAGACAGACUCUCAAUUUGCCAGGGCCAGUGAAGGAAACCCCUGUAGUCUUGUCCAACAGAUUGCUGGAGUCCAACAGCAGUAAAACUUGUGGCACAUGAGCUUGGGCUCAAGAUGGUUCAGGUCAAGAAACGUGCUUACUUCUUUUUGCUUUUUAGGGCUGCAUCCACAGCAUAUGGAAGUUUCCAGGCUAGGGGUUGAAAUGGAGCUGUAGCUGCCAGCCUACACCACAGACACAGCAAUACCAGAUCCGAGUCAUGCCUGUAACCUACACCAUAGCUUGGGGCAAUGCCGGACCUUUAACCCCUGAGCAAGGCCAAGGAAUCGAACUGGCAUCCUCAUGGGUACUAGUCUGGUUCAUUAUUGUGAGCCACAACAGGAACUCUAAGAAAUAUGUUUACUUUCAAAGCUCCCUGGAGAAGGGGGUGAGGAAACUGGCACUUGUUUCCUAGGCUGGGGAGACCAAUGUUGAAUCAUUUUGUUUAUUUUUUUAUUUCUAUUUUUUUUGUCUUUUUGCCAUUUCUUGGGCCGCUCCCACGGCACAUGGAGGUUCCCAGGCUAGGGGUCGAAUCAGAGCUGUAGCCACCGGCCUACGCCAGAGCCACAGCAACGCGGGAUCCGAGCCAAGUCUGCGACCCACACCACAGCUCACAGCAGUGCCGGAUCGUUAACCCACUGAGCAAGGGCAAGGAUCGAACCCGCAACCUCAUGGUUCCUAGUCGGAUUUGUUAACCACUGCGCCACAACGGGAACUCCAUUUUAUUUUUUUUAUUAAUAAGUUUAUACUAUUCCUUGGAAAUGUUGUUCAGCAAUGUAAAGUUCUCAACCCCUGAAAGUUCUUUUUUUAUGAGGAUAUGGAAGAAAACAAGGUAAGUGAAGAAAGGUAAGAUGUUAAAAGAAUUUGUAUGUUGACUUGGGAUGUCUUUGGGUUAAGAAAUACUUAGGAGAUUGACGUCAGAGGCAGAAAAAAGGAGGUGUAGUGUUGGAAUAAAAAGUAAUUCACAGAAGAGUAUUUCUGCACAUCAGGAAAUGCUUUUUGUAUGAUGCCUGAUAUUAAAUUAGGAUCUCUAUACCAGCAUUUUCCAGAUACCUUUGUGACUUCCCACAAGACCCUACUCUGUCUCUGGCCACUUUGUGUAAAACUGCCAGUGAUUUGUGGACAGAGUCUCCUCAGCUGAAAAGUUGGCUCUCCUGAAAUGUCACAGUCUCUGGGGCUGGCGAUGUGUAUUACUAAGAGGUCAGGUGACCUGUGCCCCCCAGCCUGGCAGCCAGGUGUGUGCCCCUGCAUCUACAACUCCGUCACAUGAAUCGACUCAGAGUGUGUACCCAGAUUUGGUACCUGCCUGCCUCAGCUCCACCUCACAGGCUGGGCUGGUGACUGACCAGCUGCUUGGGUUUCCCCAACUCUAACUGGAAAAGGGCUGCUUGCAGCUCAGCAUUAGCGAGAGGAUUCAGCAAGGUGACACACAUUGGUAAAGCUGCCAGCAUUUGUGCCUGUUUCUUCCAAGAAUCACUGAUGUUUUCUGUUAUCACCAUGACAUUUGUAAUUUACUGAAUGAGUGGAUCUUGAGGCUAUGUAUUAGACCAUUAGCAAUGUCAGUGAUAAAGUGUUAAUGGAAAUUUUGCAAACCAGGGUAUAUUUUGAAAAAGCUGUAUAGUAAGUAUUCAGAAAAACUUUUUCAGAAGGACUUCAGAAGAAGGCUCUGGACUUAAGACACAUCUAUCUCCUAUCAAGUAUGAGUAUAAUUGGGUUGUUUGACAUGCCCUCCUGCCUGCCUGAGUUUGAGUCCAUUUUCUCAUCUGUAAAAUGGGAUUACUGCAGCCUGCCUGUGGAGAAUGUGAAGAUUAAGUGAAAAAUACGGCACACAGGAGGCACUUGGUGAGCAUUAGAAGCAUUUCAUCAUGAAGAUAAAUUUAUCUCUGUUGACCAUUAACAGAUAUUCUCUCCAGUAUUUACAACACAAUU